Molecule: ribosomal RNA, 585 nt
Filed under: uncultured bacterium
Lineage: Bacteria
Description: bacterial SSU rRNA
Rfam family: Bacterial small subunit ribosomal RNA
Source: RNAcentral
CCUACGGGAGGCAGCAGUGGGGAAUUUUGGACAAUGGGCGCAAGCCUGAUCCAGCAAUGCCGCGUGAGUGAAGAAGGCCUUCGGGUUGUAAAGCUCUUUUGUCAGGGAAGAAACGGUGGGAGCUAAUAUCUUCCACUAAUGACGGUACCUGAAGAAUAAGCACCGGCUAACUACGUGCCAGCAGCCGCGGUAAUACGUAGGGUGCAAGCGUUAAUCGGAAUUACUGGGCGUAAAGCGUGCGCAGGCGGUUUUGUAAGUCUGUCGUGAAAGCCCCGGGCUCAACCUGGGAAUUGCGAUGGAGACUGCAAGGCUUGAAUCUGGCAGAGGGGGGUAGAAUUCCACGUGUAGCAGUGAAAUGCGUAGAGAUGUGGAGGAACACCGAUGGCGAAGGCAGCCCCCUGGGUCAAGAUUGACGCUCAUGCACGAAAGCGUGGGGAGCAAACAGGAUUAGAUACCCUGGUAGUCCACGCCCUAAACGAUGUCUACUAGUUGUCGGGUUUUAAUUAACUUGGUAACGCAGCUAACGCGUGAAGUAGACCGCCUGGGGAGUACGGUCGCAAGNUUAAAACGUUAAUGAAUUGACGG